AAAACGGGUGGUAAUGCCGGAUGCUCCGACUCCUCGCAUGGGGUGUCGGGAAAGAUUUCAUCGGUAUGGGAUGGGGUCGCGUCCUAUCAGGUAGUCGGCGGGGUAACGGCCCACCGAGCCUACGACGGGUAGCCGGCCUGAGAGGGCGACCGGCCACAUUGGGACUGAGAUACGGCCCAGACUCCUACGGGAGGCAGCAGUGGGGAAUAUUGCACAAUGGGCGCAAGCCUGAUGCAGCGACGCCGCGUGCGGGAUGACGGCCUUCGGGUUGUAAACCGCUUUUGAUCGGGAGCAAGCCUUCGGGUGAGUGUACCUUUCGAAUAAGCACCGGCUAACUACGUGCCAGCAGCCGCGGUAAUACGUAGGGUGCAAGCGUUAUCCGGAAUUAUUGGGCGUAAAGGGCUCGUAGGCGGUUCGUCGCGUCCGGUGUGAAAGUCCAUCGCUUAACGGUGGAUCUGCGCCGGGUACGGGCGGGCUGGAGUGCGGUAGGGGAGACUGGAAUUCCCGGUGUAACGGUGGAAUGUGUAGAUAUCGGGAAGAACACCA
RNAcentral lists this ribosomal RNA (546 nucleotides) under Bifidobacterium pseudocatenulatum. Its description in RNAcentral is "bacterial SSU rRNA". It matches the Rfam family "Bacterial small subunit ribosomal RNA", at positions 153 to 711 of the family's 1533-position model. The record is from RNAcentral. Lineage: Bacteria; Bacillati; Actinomycetota; Actinomycetes; Bifidobacteriales; Bifidobacteriaceae.